RNAcentral lists this ribosomal RNA (253 nucleotides) under uncultured bacterium. Its description in RNAcentral is "partial 16S ribosomal RNA". It matches the Rfam family "Bacterial small subunit ribosomal RNA", at positions 524 to 776 of the family's 1533-position model. The record is from RNAcentral.
UACGUAGGGGGCAAGCGUUGUCCGGAUUCAUUGGGCGUAAAGAGCGUGUAGGCGGCCAGGUAGGUCGGUUGUGAAAACUGGAGGCUCAACCUUCAGAGGUCGACCGAAACCAUCUGGCUAGAGUCCGGGAGAGGAGAGUGGAAUUCCUGGUGUAGCGGUGAAAUGCGUAGAGAUCAGGAAGAACAUCGGUGGCGAAGGCGCUUUGCUGGACCAUAACUGACACUCAGGGACGAAAGCUAGGGGAGCGAAUGGG